GAGAAGGGAGGAGUUAUUCAGGCCUCCGCCAGCUUCUAGGCCCUGGGGAUGGUCUUUCACCUCCCUCUUUCUGAUCUCUUUUUCAUGCUCCUCCUUGCUCCAAAGAAAAGCCGGAUGGCAAAAGAGCCCAGAACCUAUUGGAACUGACAAAAUCAAGUCACGGCGCCUACAAAGAUGAGGGGCAGAUUCUGGCUGCCUUUUAAUUUCGUCCUUCACCUGAUAUCUGUGCCAGAGAAUGAUAAAAAUCAUAAUAAAGGAAAUAAUGGAAGAGGAGACUUAUGUUACUGGGGACAUCUAACAUAAUUAUUUUCCUGAUUCAGUGGCAUGGUUCAGUCUUCCAGGAGUUCUGCUACAGAGAAGAGAGUAACCCCCAUCCAUCAUGGCCAAAGCACCCAGUCAGGCUCCGCUCUGGAUCCAGCCCGACAAAUGCAACCCUUGAAUAGGGUUUGUGCAAGCAAACUGGAUGACGACCGAAGAAACCCUGUCGCUUCUGAGAAGACACCCAAUCCAAGAAUGUGAGUUCUGGAAAUGUCAUUAAAUGUCAGUUAUAUACAUGC
RNAcentral lists this long non-coding RNA (557 nucleotides) under Homo sapiens (human). RNAcentral's name for it is "non-protein coding ST8SIA6-AS1:2". Lineage: Eukaryota; Metazoa; Chordata; Mammalia; Primates; Hominidae. The record is from RNAcentral.